UCUGUCAUACUGAACACACCCCUGGUCAGCUGCUGUGCUUCCAGGCAGUUUUCAGACCAUUGGUGGGAGAUGCUCAAGAGCUCACACCGGUGACAGUUCCGGGUUUUUACAAAUCACUGUCGGAGUGUUUGUGUAGCCGACCAUGGCUGUUGUUAUGGAGCAUCUAUUUUUAACAGCUUCCAGCCGAUAAACAAGUGGAAACUAGAUCUUUCAUGGAGUCGGUGUCAUAUCUUCUGCCAUUCUUUGGGGUCCGUUUUAUCCAGGUCCUGCUACAGAGUUUGGUGGAUGGGGAGAAGGGACGAAAACAACCCCAACCUCAUCCGGGUCAAUUGCACCAAAGCUUGUGCACUGGCCCUGAAGAAGUACCAUGGGUGGCUAGUGCAAAAGCUCUUCAAGUCUUCCACUGUAGGUAGCUGUGUUUCGCAGCCCCCUACAAGGCAGAUUUCCUGAGGGCACUGUCCAAGAGGUCAAGGAAAAGGACUGCCGGGACAAAAUACGACUAUUUCUAGUGAACUUCACUGCCACUGAUGCCAUCUAUGAGAUGUACACCAAGAUGAAUGCCGAGAUCUAAUUCCAUUGGUACAUCAACGUGAUUGUAUUUGAUAAAAGAUGCCUUAUUAUUGAUGUAAUCAUACAAAUGUCAUCUCACCUAAUCAUCAUUUAGGAAGUCAAAACCAAAUCUCUCGCGGAAACAGUCAUAUCACAGGAGAAUAAUAUUUGUAUAGUCAAAGCAGCGGCAGGAGUAAACUGUCAAGUCGGGAUGAUUUGUUUUAAAAGAUUGAAAAGUUUCAAGCUUCAAAUAAGUGAGUCUUUAAAGUGUUCUAAAAAAUGUGUUGGAAAGGAAAUGUUUUAUAACCUUUACAUGUUAAGUGACAUUGAAAUCAAUCCACCAAAUGGUGACAUUUCAUUUUAGGCUGUUUCAUAAAUAUGAUUGAUUGUGAAUUACAUUGUGAUGCAGUGUUGAUUAUGAUAAAUAAACCAGAUUUAUUUUGUGUAAUUAUAGUGGCUGAAUCAAGCCAUGUGAGUAUAGAGAUGCCACUAAUAUUGUUAACCUAACUGUGCCAUCUGCCAUUGACAGGAGAGAGGGUGAACUCUCACUAGCUUUGUCUUUGUCCAACAGUGCAACUUUACAGGAUGCCUGCCUCUUGAGUUGAAUUUUUGAUUUUCAUAAGGCACUUUUUUAUCUCUUGCGAAACACAUUACGGUGUACCCUAAUGAACACACCCCUGUGAUAUAUUGUAGAGGGUUUAUUUUGAACCAUAAUGGAGCAUGUCUUUUCUUGGAAUUUCUCAGUUUUACUUCUGAUUGACUUUCUAAUACUGAUUCAGGUGAUUCGGCCUCCAGAUGUCCUUUCCUUGCCCUUUUGCAAUUCCUAUUUGUUUGGUGGCAAAAAACAUGUAAUGAAAACACUAUGGCAUUAUCGGAAAUUUAUAGCAUUAUAGUAAAAUUUAAAUUCACUGAAAAUGUAUUGUUAGUCAGUGAUUAGUUUCCAUUUUCUGGUUAUUAAUUUUUGGGUAUCACUUGAUUGUCAUGAGAAAUGUGUAUGAAAAGGAUUCAAAUGCAGGGCAUAAAUUAUGUACGAUAUUAUACAUUAUUUUAAUCUUAUAUUGCAAAUGAAUAUUUUUACAAAAUAUUACCAGUUUCUAAUUUUAUAUUGAAUUGUGUCAGCAGUGGAGAAGGUGGAAAGUUUUAAGUUCCUUGGCGUAUGUAACGGAUGUGC
Molecule: long non-coding RNA, 1720 nt
Organism: Oncorhynchus gorbuscha (pink salmon)
Lineage: Eukaryota; Metazoa; Chordata; Actinopteri; Salmoniformes; Salmonidae
Exons: 3
Source: RefSeq, a predicted model, not a curated record